UACAGAGGUGGCAAGCGUUGUUCGGAAUUAUUGGGCGUAAAGAGCUCGUAGGCGGUCUGUUGCGUCGGCUGUGAAAACCCGGGGCUCAACCCCGGGCCUGCAGCCGAUACGGGCAGGCUAGAGUUCGGCAGGGGAGACUGGAAUUCCUGGUGUAGCGGUGAAAUGCGCAGAUAUCAGGAGGAACACCGGUGGCGAAGGCGGGUCUCUGGGCCGAUACUGACGCUGAGGAGCGAAAGCGUGGGGAGCGAACAGG
RNAcentral lists this ribosomal RNA (253 nucleotides) under uncultured bacterium. Its description in RNAcentral is "partial 16S ribosomal RNA". It matches the Rfam family "Bacterial small subunit ribosomal RNA", at positions 524 to 776 of the family's 1533-position model. The record is from RNAcentral.